AGUGAACGCUGGCGGCGUGCCUAAUACAUGCAAGUCGAACGGAGUGGCGCACGGGUGAGUAAUGUAUAGCUAAUCCGCUCUAUACUAGAGGACAACAGUUGGAAACGGCUGCUAAUACUCUAUAGUGUAGGAUGAGGCUAUAUUGUAUCAGCUAGUUGGUGAGGUAAUGGCUCACCAAGUAUAUGACGCAUAACUGGUCUGAGAGGAUGAUCAGUCACACUGGAACUGAGACACGGUCCGGACUCCUACGGGAGGCAGCAGUAGGGAAUAUUGCCCAAUGGGGGAAACCCUGAAGCAGCAUCGCCGCGUGGAGGAUGACACUUUUCGGAGCGUAAACUCCUUUUGUUAGGGAAGCGGUACCUAACGAAUAAGCACCGGCUAACUCCGUGCCAGCAGCCGCGGUAAUUC
Molecule: ribosomal RNA, 408 nt
Filed under: uncultured bacterium
Lineage: Bacteria
Description: partial 16S ribosomal RNA
Rfam family: Bacterial small subunit ribosomal RNA
Source: RNAcentral